This 464-nucleotide ribosomal RNA is filed under the name uncultured bacterium. RNAcentral's name for it is "partial 16S ribosomal RNA". It matches the Rfam family "Bacterial small subunit ribosomal RNA", at positions 28 to 507 of the family's 1533-position model. The record is from RNAcentral.
GACGAACGCUGGCGGCGUGCUUAACACAUGCAAGUCGAACGGUAAGGCCCCUUCGGGGGUACACGAGUGGCGAACGGGUGAGUAACACGUGAGCAACCUGCCCUUGACUUUGGGAUACCAGCUGGAAACAGCUGCUAAUACCGGAUAUGACCUCUUCUCUCUUGGGUUGAGGUGGAAAGCUCCGGCGGUCAGGGAUGGGCUCGCGGCCUAUCAGCUUGUUGGUGAGGUAAUGGCUCACCAAGGCUUCGACGGGUAGCCGGCCUGAGAGGGCGACCGGCCACACUGGGACUGAGAUACGGCCCAGACUCCUACGGGAGGCAGCAGUGGGGAAUAUUGCACAAUGGGCGCAAGCCUGAUGCAGCAACGCCGCGUGCGGGAUGACGGCCUUCGGGUUGUAAACCGCUUUCAGUAGGGACGAAGCUAACGUGACGGUACCUACAGAAGAAGGACCGGCUAACUACGUG